This 846-nucleotide ribosomal RNA is filed under the name uncultured archaeon. RNAcentral's name for it is "bacterial SSU rRNA". It matches the Rfam family "Archaeal small subunit ribosomal RNA", at positions 415 to 1261 of the family's 1478-position model. The record is from RNAcentral.
AGUUGUAGAAUCACUGGUGAAUAAGGGGUGGGCAAGUUCUGGUGUCAGCCGCCGCGGUAAAACCAGCACCUCGAGUGGUCAGGAGGUUUAUUGAGCCUAAAGCAUCCGUAGCCGGUUGCAUAAGUUUUCGGUUAAAUCUAUGCGCUUAACGUAUAGGCCGCCGAAAAUACUGUGCAGCUAGGGAGUGGGAGAGGUACACGGUACUCGAUAGGAAGGGGUAAAAUCCUUUGAUCUAUUGAUGACCACCUGUGGCGAAGGCGGUGUACCAGAACACGUUCGACGGUGAGGGAUGAAAGCUGGGGGAGCAAACCGGAUUAGAUACCCGGGUAGUCCCAGCUGUAAACGAUGCAGACUCGGUGAUGCAUUGGCUUGUGGCCAAUGCAGUGCCGCAGGGAAGCCGUUAAGUCUGCCGCCUGGGAAGUACGUACGCAAGUAUGAAACUUAAAGGAAUUGGCGGGGGAGCACCACAAGGGGUGAAGCCUGCGGUUCAAUUGGAGUCAACGCCAGAAAUCUUACCUGGGGAGACAGCAGAAUGAAGGUCAAGCUGAAGACUUUACCAGACACGCUGAGAGGUGGUGCAUGGCCGUCGCCAGCUCGUGCCGUGAGAUGUCCUGUUAAGUCAGGUAACGAGCGAGACCCCUGCGUCUAGUUGCUACCAUUACUCUCUGGAGCAGUGGAGCGAAUUAGACGGACCGCCACAGUUAAUGUGGAGGAAGGAAGGGGCCACGGCAGGUCAGUAUGCCCCGAAACCCUAGGGCUACACGCGGGCUGCAAUGGUAUUGACAUGUGUUCCGAAUCCGAAAGGAGGAGGCAAUCAUCAAACAUAUCUCAGUUAUGACUGAGGGC